CACUGCAUUUGCGGGAAAAAUAAUAAUUUGCUACGCUCUAUUUGAGGCUACACUUCAGCUUUUGUUGCCUGGUAAAAGGGUUGAAGGACCGAUAUCUCCAACUGGACACAGGCCUGUCUAUAAGGCAAAUGGCAUGGCAGCAUAUAUAGUGACACUAAUUACCUAUCUCAGCCUUUGGUGGUUUGGAAUAUUCAAUCCUACAAUCGUGUAUGAUCAUCUGGGAGAGAUUCUCUCUACACUAAAUUUUGGAAGCUUAAUCUUCUGUCUCUUAUUAUACAUAAAAG
This is a long non-coding RNA of Solanum pennellii, 284 nucleotides long. RefSeq lists it as uncharacterized. The transcript is spliced from 3 exons. Lineage: Eukaryota; Viridiplantae; Streptophyta; Magnoliopsida; Solanales; Solanaceae. The record is from RefSeq and is a predicted model, not a curated record.